CCUACGGGGGGCUGCAGUGGGGAAUAUUGGGCAAUGGGCGCAAGCCUGACCCAGCAACGCCGCGUGAAGGAAGAAGGCUUUCGGGUGGUAAACUUCUGUUCUCAGGGACGAAGAAAGUGACGGUACCUGAGGAAUAAGCCACGGCUAACUCCGUGCCAGCAGCCGCGGUAAUACGGAGGGGGCGAGCGUUAAGCGGAAUUACUGGGCGUAAAGCGCUCGUAGGCGGUAUGUCAAGUCAAGGGGGAAAUCCCCGCGCUCAACGUGGGAACUGCCUUUGAAACUGGCAAACUGGAGUGUGUGAGAGGAUAGUGGAAUUCCAGGUGUAGGCGUGACAUCCGUAGAUAUCUGGAGGAACAUCAGUGGCGAAGGCGACUCUCUGGCACAUAACUGACGCUGAGGCGCGAACGCGUGGGUAGCAAACCGGAUUAGAUACCCGAGUAGUC
RNAcentral lists this ribosomal RNA (443 nucleotides) under uncultured bacterium. RNAcentral describes it as "partial 16S ribosomal RNA". It matches the Rfam family "Bacterial small subunit ribosomal RNA", at positions 338 to 795 of the family's 1533-position model. The record is from RNAcentral.